RNAcentral lists this ribosomal RNA (247 nucleotides) under uncultured bacterium. RNAcentral describes it as "partial 16S ribosomal RNA". It matches the Rfam family "Bacterial small subunit ribosomal RNA", at positions 523 to 769 of the family's 1533-position model. The record is from RNAcentral.
AUACGGAAGGUGCAAGCGUUAAUCGGAAUCACUGGGCGUAAAGCGCUCGUAGGUGGCUUUGUAAGUCAGGUGUGAAAGCCCACGGCUCAACCGUGGAAUUGCACUUGAUACUGCAUUGCUUGAGUUCGGGAGAGGGUAGUGGAAUUCCAGGUGUAGGAGUGAAAUCCGUAGAGAUUGGGAGGAACACCAGUGGCGAAGGCGGCUUUCUGGACAGUAACUGACGCUGAGGCGCGAAAGCGUGGGGAGC